AGUCCGGAGCUGCGCCUCCGCCGACAGAAGAUGCUCCGGGCCAGCAGCCAGAGAAACGCCGCGGGUCACAGAGGGUGGAGGGCUUCAGGGAGCAGAGGAAGCCCAACAGCUGCAGCCGAGCGUCCAAAAAAAGUUCCUCUACUUGGCUCUCCUCCAAAGGUACGCGGCCACAGCAGGCAGGGGCUUGGCAGUGUGGGAGGAGACACCACAGAAGACAGGGAAGAACUACCAGGCCUUGGUUCAUCUCCACACUGGCGAGAGAGGACGUGCAGGAAGUAUCGGCUGCCAGAUAGGGAGCUGAGACUUCAAGAAGCUAAAUAAGGUGUCCAACACCACAGAGCAUGGAGCAAAGGACACGGGACUGCAAAUCUUCCUAACUCGUGUGCUCAUCUGGCUAUCUCACCAGGGCCUUAAAUUUAAUAUAUCCCAAACUGAACUCAUCUUUACCCCUUCCCACUUUGCACUCCUCAAAUGUCCUUGUUUAAAAUAGUUACCUUUAUCUUUCCUAACCCAGAAACUCAAAACCUGGCAUCAUCUUUGACUUCUCUCUUUACCUUCACAUUCAACAGUUUCCAAGACUUAAAGGCUUUAUUUGUAGGAUCUCUACCACUGAUCCUCUACAGUUUCACACCUACAUCCCAUUCUCGUUCCCAAAUCCCCAUAACUCCUCUCCUGGCCCAUCCCUUAACACUGAAAUCCUGGCUUGGAAAAUAUGGUCACAUUCACAGCAGCUGUCCCCAAGAAGGAAGCCAAGGCAACAGUAUGCACAAUGAAGUGAGUCUUCACUGAUCUCUCCAUAUUUUGACAUUUUACAGCACUUAUUAUCUCUACUUUGUAUUUUGAAACUGAAUCCAAAAUAGUUUUGCAUUUGUUGUUUAACAGUCAUGUAUGUAGUUUUUUUUUUUUUUUCUUUUUUUUUGGAGACAGAGUCUGGCUCUGUCACCCAGGCUGGAGUGCAGUGGCGUGAUUUUGGCUCACUGCAACCUCCGCCUUCUGGGUUCAAGCAGUUCUCGUGCCUCCCUGAGCAGCUGGGAAUACAAGCAUACACCACCAUGCCCAGCUAAUUUAUUUUUAGUAGAGAUGGGAUUUCACCAUGUUGCCCAGGCUGAUCUUGAACUCCUGAGGUCAGGCAAUCUGCCCACCUCAGCCUCCCAAAGUGCUGGGAUUACAGGCAUCAGCCACCACACCCAGCCCCUCCAUGUGUGUAGAUAUUUAUCCACAUCCAAAAAUUAGGAAAAGCAGGACGCAUUGAACCUUUGGUACCCAGCAGCAGGAGCCUGUGGGUCUUCUGUCUGGAGCACAAUCACAAGGACCGAGCAUCAGCAGCAUCCACUGUCCUUUCAGCUCCAAAUUUUAAACUCCCGUAAGAGAGACAUUAUUGGCCCAGCUUGGGUCGUGUGUCCACCCCUUUAAUCAAUCAGCUUUGGCCAAGCAGCAGGUCAUCCUGGUCCAAACAUCACAGUUGGGGGCCUCACUUGUAAAUAGAGCUUGUUCCCAAAAAAGAGGGAGGCACACACCAUUCAUUUGUUUAUUCAUUCAUUCAAUCAGCAAAUAGUUGAGCAUCUAUAGAAAUAUAUUUAAGGUUCUAUUAUGUACACAAAAUGUAUAAAACAUGGCCCUGCCCUCACACCAUGAAAGUUACCACAUAAAAAGAAGUCACCAGAUAAAAAAAGCAUAACAGUAUUCAUAAGUACUCAUGAGUGACCAUCAAUUCAGUUACACAUGAUGGAAGAUAAUUCAUUAUACCUAGUAUAAGCCAGUGACGGUAAAAAUAGUUAGCAGCAAUGUGUACAUGAUCAACAAAAGCUCACAGCAGCACCAUUUACACAAAAACAGAAAAGUACCCAGAUGUCCAUCAGAGGUAGACCAGAUAAAAUAUAAAAUAUACCACCACACAAUGGCUAACACCUGUAAUCCCAGCACUUUGGGAGGCUGAGGCCGGCAGAUCACUUGAGGUCAGGAGUUUGAGACCAGCCUGAUCAACAUGGUGAAACCCCGUCUCUACUAAAAAUACAAAAAUUAACCAGUUGUCAUGGCAUGUGCCUGUAAUCCCAGCUACUCAGGAGGCCGAGGCAAGAGAAUCGCUUGAACCUGGGAGGCCAAGGUUGCAGUGAGCCGAGAUCACACCACUGCACUCCAGCCUGGGUAAAAAAGCGAGAUUCCAUCUCGAAAAAAAAAAAGUGUAUAUGUAUAGUGUAUGCAUGCACAGAAUACUUUACAGCAAUAAGAAUGAGUGUUCUGCAAAUAUACACAAUAUUGCUGACUCUCCCAAUGUUAAACAAAAGCAUCCAGACACACAACAAUGUGUACAGUAUAUGAUUCCAUUGAUAGAAAGCUUAAAAACAGGCAAAAUUAAUUCACCCUUAUGGAGUCUUAAGUAAGGGGAACAAAAGGGGCCAUCUGGGCAGUGAUAAUGCUGUUUCUUGAGCUGGGUGCUGGGUUCACAGGUGUGUUCAGUUUGUCACAUUCAUCAAGCUUACACUUCUCAUACAUCUUCUUUUCUAUAUGUAUGUCAUCCUUCAAUAAAAAGUUUUUAAAAAAUAAAUAAUUGGGCUUGUGUGGUGGGCUCACACCUGUAAUCCUAGCACUUUGGGAGGCUGAUGUGGGAGAAGCACUUGAGUCCAGGAGUUUGACCAGCCUGGGCAACACAGGAAGACCCUGUCUCCACAAAAAAUUUUUAAAAGCCUGGCAUGGUGGCACACUUAGGUGGGUAAGGUGGGAGGAUCGCUUGAGCCAGGAGGUUGAGGCUGCAGUGAGCCGUGAUCGCACCACUGCACUCCAGCCUGAGUGACAAAGCGAGACCAUGUCUUAAAAAAAUAAAAAUAAAUAAUUGGC
Molecule: long non-coding RNA, 2835 nt
Filed under: Homo sapiens (human)
Lineage: Eukaryota; Metazoa; Chordata; Mammalia; Primates; Hominidae
Description: non-protein coding EXTL3-AS1:14
Source: RNAcentral